GAUCCUACGGGACGCAGCAGUGGGGAAUAUUGGACAAUGGGGGGAACCCUGAUCCAGCGACGCCGCGUGAGUGAAGAAGUAUUUCGGUAUGUAAAGCUCUAUCAGCAGGGAAGAAAGAAAUGACGGUACCUGACUAAGAAGCCCCGGCUAACUACGUGCCAGCAGCCGCGGUAAUACGUAGGGGGCAAGCGUUAUCCGGAUUUACUGGGUGUAAAGGGAGCGUAGACGGCCGUGCAAGCCAGGAGUGAAAGCCCGGGGCCCAACCCCGGGACUGCUCUUGGAACUGUGCGGCUGGAGUGCGGGAG
RNAcentral lists this ribosomal RNA (305 nucleotides) under uncultured bacterium. RNAcentral describes it as "bacterial SSU rRNA". It matches the Rfam family "Bacterial small subunit ribosomal RNA", at positions 335 to 654 of the family's 1533-position model. The record is from RNAcentral.